CAGGCGGUUGGAAUAGUCUGAUGUGAAAGCCCACGGCUUAACCGUGGAAGGUCAUUGGAAACUGUCCAACUUGAAUACAGAAGAGGUAAGUGGAAUUCCAAGUGUAGCGGUGAAAUGCGUAGAUAUUUGGAGGAACACCAGUGGCGAAGGCGACUUACUGGUCUGUAAUUGACGCUGAGGCUCGAAAGCGUGGGUAGCAAACAGGAUUAGAUACCCUGGUAGUCCACGCCGUAAACGAUGAGUGCUAAGUGUUAGGGGGNUUUCCGCCCCUUAGUGCUGGAGUUAACGCAUUAAGCACUCCGCCUGGGGAGUACGGCCGCAAGGCUGAAACUCAAAGGAAUUGACCGGGAACCCCCNCANCCGGU
This 365-nucleotide ribosomal RNA is filed under the name uncultured bacterium. RNAcentral's name for it is "bacterial SSU rRNA". It matches the Rfam family "Bacterial small subunit ribosomal RNA", at positions 572 to 933 of the family's 1533-position model. The record is from RNAcentral.